CACAGACUCCUACGGGAGGCAGCAGUGAGGAAUAUUGGUCAAUGGGCGCGAGCCUGAACCAGCCAAGUCGCGUGAGGGAAGACGGUCCUAUGGAUUGUAAACCUCUUUUGUCGGGGAGCAAAAGACGCCACGUGUGGCGUUCCGAGAGUACCCGAAGAAAAAGCAUCGGCUAACUCCGUGCCAGCAGCCGCGGUAAUACGGAGGAUGCGAGCGUUAUCCGGAUUUAUUGGGUUUAAAGGGUGCGCAGGCGGAAGAUCAAGUCAGCGGUAAAAUGUCCGGGCUCAACCCGGGCCGGCCGUUGAAACUGGGGAUCUUGAGUGGGCGAGAAGGAUGCGGAAUGCGUGGUGUAGCGGUGAAAUGCAUAGAUACCACGCAGAACUCCGAUUGCGAAGGCAGCAUACCGGCGCCCGACUGACGCUGAGGCACGAAAGCGUGGGGAUCGAACAGGAUUAGAUACCCGUGUACAU
This 467-nucleotide ribosomal RNA is filed under the name uncultured bacterium. Its description in RNAcentral is "bacterial SSU rRNA". It matches the Rfam family "Bacterial small subunit ribosomal RNA", at positions 330 to 795 of the family's 1533-position model. The record is from RNAcentral.